Molecule: ribosomal RNA, 742 nt
Filed under: uncultured bacterium
Lineage: Bacteria
Description: bacterial SSU rRNA
Rfam family: Bacterial small subunit ribosomal RNA
Source: RNAcentral
AGAGUUUGAUCAUGGCUCAGAACGAACGCUGGCGGCAGGCCUAACACAUGCAAGUCGAGCGCUGUAGCAAUACAGAGCGGCGCACGGGUGAGUAACACGUGGGAACGUGCCCUUUGGUUCGGAAUAACUCAGGGAAACUUGAGCUAAUACCGGAUAAGCCCUCCGGGGGAAAGAUUUAUCGCCAUUGGAGCGGCCCGCGUUGGAUUAGCUAGUUGGUGGGGUAAAAGCCUACCAAGGCAACGAUCCAUAGCUGGUUUGAGAGAACGACCAGCCACACUGGGACUGAGACACGGCCCAGACUCCUACGGGAGGCAGCAGUGGGGAAUCUUGGACAAUGGGGGCAACCCUGAUCCAGCCAUGCCGCGUGAGUGAUGAAGGCCCUAGGGUUGUAAAACUCUUUCGCGCACGACGAUAAUGACGGUAGUGCGAGAAGAAGCUCCGGCUAACUUCGUGCCAGCAGCCGCGGUAAUACGAAGGGGGCUAGCGUUGUUCGGAUUUACUGGGCGUAAAGCGCGCGCAGGCGGUCCUUCAAGUCAGGGGUGAAAGCCCAGAGCUCAACUCUGGAACUGCCUUUGAGACUGUAGGACUUGGGUAUGGGAGAGGUGAGUGGAAUUCCGAGUGUAGAGGUGAAAUUCGUAGAUAUUCGGAAGAACACCAGUGGCGAAGGCGGCUCACUGGCCCAUUACCGACGCUCAGGCGCGAUAGCGUGGGGAGCAAACAGGAUUAGAUACCCUAGUAGUCC